GGCGUGAUAGCUCAGUUGGUAGAGCAACGGAUUGAAAAUCCGUGUGUCCC
RNAcentral lists this transfer RNA (50 nucleotides) under Acinetobacter baumannii 1031433. RNAcentral describes it as "partial tRNA-Phe". It matches the Rfam family "tRNA", at positions 1 to 48 of the family's 71-position model. Rfam says of the family: Transfer RNA (tRNA) molecules are approximately 80 nucleotides in length. Their secondary structure includes four short double-helical elements and three loops (D, anti-codon, and T loops). RNAcentral also lists the same sequence under 1 other name. Lineage: Bacteria; Pseudomonadati; Pseudomonadota; Gammaproteobacteria; Moraxellales; Moraxellaceae. The record is from RNAcentral.